UCGCGCCAUACUGGCAGUGGCCACUGGCCAGAGUAGAGAGCCUUGAUAAAGUAUGGAACGUUUUCAGGAUAUUCAGCUUUCACUAAAGCGAAUUUUAGUUGAUGUGUCAAUGAAGAACAAAAGCUGGAAUGUGAAUAGAAGAAGGGGUCGUACGGGGUCUGUAAAAAUACUCAAGUGGUGCUCGCUGCAUAUCAGAUCAAGCAUUGGAAUAAGAUUUUUAUCGGGGGAGAACAACCAACAGAGAAAGACCCAUUCACCAACUACAUGGCGCACUGAAAGGGGAGAUUCAUGUCACCUUCACCAGUCCUUUCUUUAAUUGCUGGAAACUGUUAAGGGAAAGACCCUCAGACAUAAUAGGAUAAAUGUGGCUGCAGGUAAAAUUAUUUGAUGGUGUUAAGGUUUAUCAUUAUCUAACAAACCAAAUGCUUUGUUCAAUAACAAGAAAUCACAUUAGGGCCAUUUUCUGGAAGAGAAAUCCACUUGGACAGUUUGACAAGGAUCAAGAGGCCAAGGACCAGGUGGUGAAGUCGGAACCAGACCAGACAGCUCUCGCACAGCCAGCCUCUGAACCUGCUCUACAGUUUGAAUCGCCCGGGUGAAGUUAAACUCUACUUUGCUGGUGACCCAGAUGGCUGAGAACAUGAUAGGCUGAAACCCUGGAAGCUAAGAGGGAAGCGGCAAAGGAGUUCGAAGAAGAGCUGAAAAGCACGUCUUAAUGAACACAAGGACAAGGCCUGGUGAAAGCCACUACAGAGGAUCAUAGCCAUCGUUGGAGUUCUGAAAGGACGUGGGUGAAUAUCAAUCUGCCAAAUGAACUUUUUUUAGCAUGCACAUUCACAUCUUUCUAUUAAUACUGAUUAUAUAUGAACUUGUUUGUUUGUUACUGGAAACAACUUCGCUUCUAUUGUGUUUGACAGAAGGAGUUUUAAGCCUAUGUGCAUUUUCUAGAUGUUAAGCAUGAACAGUACUUAAACAACCAUUACCCGUACCAGCUCUGUCCGUGCUCCAUUUUCCAUUGCAGAUCAUACUCAAGAGAUAGUACCCCUUAAAUGCAGCUGGUCGUCAUAGCAAGGCCACACACAACUGCCGCGGCGUAAUGUUCAAUGCGAGGUACACACCAGCGCCCCAAUUUAAUUUAAAACGUUUCAGCAUUACUCGGAUUGUACUUAAUUUAACUAAAACAAAUAUCAAAAACAUGUCUAAUUAAUACUUUAUCAACACGUCAUACUCCUGGAAAAGACCCACAUAAAUCACAUAUUUUAAAGGAAUAGUCUACUCAUUUUCAAUAUUAUUUAAUAUUUUCAUAUUUCAACAUAUAUCAAUAAUAUGUUAUUACCUUAACUAAGAAUUGUUGAUACAUCCCUCUAUCAUCUGUGUGCGUGCACGUAAGCGCUGGAGCGCGCUGCGACGCUUCGAUAGCAUUUAGCUUUGAGUUCACUCAAAAGUCGAUUUAAAAUUGCAGUUUAAAAAAACUUGCAUGCAUUGAAGACCCGUCACCCCUAGGAACAACAUGAAACGAUUGAAUAUAUCUUCAUAUGAUAUAUCAGGACACUUCUUAAUUUCAUCCUCACACUGGCUCAUACAUGGCUGGUGUAGUAAAUAUUUACCAUAACUGUUUUUAUCAUGUUUUAUGCGUGCUCCCACCACACUGUUUUCUACUGGCUGGCCAUUAAAACUGAGCUCCCGCACAAAGAAGGGAAAUACGUCACAUCUCUUACUCCCGCGUUUGAAAAUAAUGUGGAUAACAACAUUAUUCUGUUUGAGGUGUAACAAGCUGUGUUCCCACAUGUUUAAAGGCUCUCUAAGCGAAUCUGCGAGACGUUAGUUAUUGUUGACUUUUAAAACUGUUUUCAAACAGACGGAGCGUAGCUAACUCCUCCCCCUCCCUUCCGUGCUUUCAUGAACGCGCCCAACCCCCACCCCCAAAUCCUUUGUCGUUUAUUGGCUGGAAUACUUUGUUUUGUUUUGUGAUGCUAGGUUUGGCCACUUGUUGAUAUUGCCGUUUGUGAAGUCUAGGCUGUCUACAGAGAUCGCGUUUUUUUACAGUUUGAUCAACGGGCAGGCAGCAAGCAGAUAGUGAGGAGUAGGGGUGUAACGGUUCGUGUAUUCGAACCGGACCGUUUCGGUUCAGGGCUUUCGGCACGGUGCGCACGUGCACCGAAAGUAUUUUGUGUGCGCCUGUGCGGAACAUAAUACGUGCGUUUCCGCACGAACAUAUUAAGUGGCGGAAGUCUCCGCGUUCAGCGCAAGUCUUCUGUCAAACAUAUAACAUAAUUCGGCACGCAGAAAGAUUUUUAUUUACUUAGUUGUAUAUCCGUUUGAUUAUUGAUGUAAACGUUUACGUGUCGUAUCUAAAAGCGCAUGUUAAACGCGUGUCAACGCGCUGCUUUGUUCUUUCAAAAGUGCGUGAGAGGAUGCACGUCUUUCGUUGCUACGCAUUCAUGAGACGCGCUUUCUGUGACAGCAAGAAUAAGGAAUGCGUGAUCAGAUUUUUCAUCUGCAUAUCACGUCAAUCAUAUCAUUGUCACAAUGCGAUCAGCUGGUCGGGACAGAGAAGAGCUGUAACCCGGGCUUACUCAGCUGUUACUCAGCUGCGGAGGGGUUCGUAAGUAAAGUCA
This is a long non-coding RNA of Paramisgurnus dabryanus, 2618 nucleotides long. RefSeq lists it as uncharacterized. NCBI's taxonomy places the organism in Eukaryota, Metazoa, Chordata, Actinopteri, Cypriniformes, Cobitidae. The record is from RefSeq and is a predicted model, not a curated record.